Triticum urartu is the source of this 135-nucleotide non-coding RNA. Lineage: Eukaryota; Viridiplantae; Streptophyta; Magnoliopsida; Poales; Poaceae. The record is from Rfam.
UUUGUACUCCCCCCGUCCCAAAAUUCUUAUCUUAAAUUUGUCUAAAUACGGAUGUAUCUAGUUACAUUUUAGUGUUAGAUACAUCCGUAUCUAAACAAAUGUAAGACAAGAAUUUUGGGACGGAGGGAAUACUAC